UUGUCAGACCGAAUAGUGGAAUUUUAUCAGCACUCUUAUGUGCCAAGUAAUGACACCUCACCCACCUGAACCCUUCAGCUGGAGGAUCAACUGACACUACAGGACUGUUGCCAUUUCCAGAUGUAACUGUAGAUCCUAGAGGAAUAGACAGACUUACAGCUGGGCUUGCUGGAGGUUUCUAUAUGAAAUAGUAUAAACGGAGAUUGUAAUCCACAGAAGAAUGCAGAGCAGGUGCAAACGCUG
Limulus polyphemus (Atlantic horseshoe crab) is the source of this 243-nucleotide long non-coding RNA. RefSeq lists it as uncharacterized. The record is from RefSeq and is a predicted model, not a curated record. The transcript is spliced from 3 exons. NCBI's taxonomy places the organism in Eukaryota, Metazoa, Arthropoda, Merostomata, Xiphosura, Limulidae.